Molecule: ribosomal RNA, 497 nt
Filed under: uncultured bacterium
Lineage: Bacteria
Description: partial 16S ribosomal RNA
Rfam family: Bacterial small subunit ribosomal RNA
Source: RNAcentral
GAUGAACGCUGGCGGCGUGCCUAAUACAUGCAAGUCGAGCGAACAGAUGAGGCUCUUGCUCCUCUCUCGUUAGCCGCGGACGGGUGUGUCACACGUGUAUAACCUCCCUAUCAUACUGGUAUCACUUCGGGAAACCGGCGCUAAUACCGUAUAAUAUCUUGAACCGCAUGGUUCAAUAGUGAAAUACGGUUUUUCUGUCACUUAUCGCUGCAUCCGCGCCGCAUUAGCUAGUUGGUAAGGUAACGGCUUACCAAGGCUACGAUGCGUAGCCGACCUGAGAGGGUGAUAGGCCACACUGGAGCGGAGACGCGGUCCAGGCGACUGAGAGAGGCAGCAGAAGGGAAUCGUACGCAAUGGGCGAAAGCAUGACGGAGUAAGGGGGAGUGAGUGAUGAAGGUGUUCGGAUCGUGAAAAUCGGUUAUGAGGGAAGAACAAAUGUGGAAGGAACUAUGCACGUCUUGACGGUACCGAAUCAGAAAGCCACGGCUAACUACGUG